Molecule: transfer RNA, 71 nt
Filed under: Marmota monax (woodchuck)
Lineage: Eukaryota; Metazoa; Chordata; Mammalia; Rodentia; Sciuridae
Description: tRNA.Ser
Rfam family: tRNA
About the family: Transfer RNA (tRNA) molecules are approximately 80 nucleotides in length.
Source: RNAcentral
GGGGUUGUGGCUCAGUGGUAGAGCACUCAUCUAGAACAUGCACGGCCCUGGGUUCGAUCCUCAGCACCACA